UCAGUUACCUAAAUGGCAUGAAUAAUAUUUCCAAUAUAUAAAUUAAUAUGGUUAUUUCAUUUGUUUAUGGUGAGCAUGGUUUUCAUGGUGCGCAGUAUAUUUUUGUGUUGUAUUGGGGUGGAAUCUUCUAUUCUACUUCCUGGGGGACAUAAUUCAGGGACGUACAGGAAAGGGAUAUCUUGAAAAACAGCGGUAAUCCAGUUUUCGCCUACCAGGACCAAAGAAGGCUUAAGCUUUAUGCGUGAGAUGUAUUUGAUGAAUAUUGCAAGAGAAGAAUGUAACGCGGGUCAUUUAACGUUUGAAUGGACCCCGGUUGUGGAAUAUUGUUCUUGAAGAAAUGUUAUGAAGAGUGAUGAACCUUUGUGUGCAACGAACCUAGCUCCUUUUGGUAACAAGCUGCCAGCGAGUUUUCACGGGACGAAGCUGAAUAAAGAACGCCCUGUAGUUUAAAAGAAAACUCCGUUUCCUCGUGUUACUGUGGGAGCUACAGUGAAAACUCGAUGUCAAGACCCAAGGCGUGUGGAGAAGCAAGCGGCAAGUCAUCGCCAUCGCAUCGCCUUCCUCAGCGCUUCUUCUGAGAUGAGACGCACGAGAGCUACUUUGCAGUCCGCAGUACGGUGCAGGUGCCAUUGUUUUGCUAGCGUAGGCUCAACAUUUUGAACGGACAUUUCAGAGACUUCGGUGACCGUGUUCAUAUCUAGGUCAAUCUAUGUUUUCUUUGUUGGCUAAUAACUCUUGGUUUGAUGAUGGUCCAUUUAGGCUUAGGCAAGUUCAAUACCAUAAUGGCAGGUUGUAGCCAUUAUGCAUGAUCAUAUGCAUGUGUGUGACUAACAUAACAGUUAUUUCAAAUGCUCUUUUAAAUAGAGAAUGUUUAUAGUUGAA
Scatophagus argus is the source of this 882-nucleotide long non-coding RNA. RefSeq lists it as uncharacterized. The transcript has 2 exons. The record is from RefSeq and is a predicted model, not a curated record. NCBI's taxonomy places the organism in Eukaryota, Metazoa, Chordata, Actinopteri, Scatophagidae.